GCCGGGUGCGGUGGUGCACGCCUGUAAUCCCAGGGGCUCAGGAGGCCGAGUCAGGAGGAUCUCAAGUUCAAAGCCAGCCUCAGCAAUAGAGAGGCGCUUCAGUGAGAUCCUGUCUCUG
RNAcentral lists this small RNA (118 nucleotides) under Marmota monax (woodchuck). The record is from RNAcentral. Lineage: Eukaryota; Metazoa; Chordata; Mammalia; Rodentia; Sciuridae.